GGGGACGCCCCGGGAAAGGCAGCCUCUGUGUGUCCCAGGUCGUCUCCUGCGACCGCGCUUUGCCCCUGCCCCCAGGGCUGGAAGAGAGCACCGGCACCGGGCACUUGAUGGAAGCUGCACCCAUCGCGAGACAGCCUGCCCUUGGGCACUGGGCCCACCGACCACACAGGACAGUCCGCCCUUGGCCUGACUCUAAGGCUUGUCUGCACCCCUGCGAUGGCAGCCAUCCUCUUGAAGGCCAGACCCAAGGUGAGUGGGGCUCCCUGAUUGUCUCCAUCUGCCGCCUCCACGUG
Molecule: long non-coding RNA, 293 nt
Filed under: Canis lupus dingo (dingo)
Lineage: Eukaryota; Metazoa; Chordata; Mammalia; Carnivora; Canidae
Description: lncRNA (ENSCAFG00020023195.1)
Source: RNAcentral